AGCUGCAGCUAAUUGGCACCUGACCACACCUGUUGUCAAUCAGCCCAAUCCUAUUUUACCUGCUUUGUUCCUCCAGUCAGCGCUGGAUUAUUGGCGAUGUCACUUCUUGUCCCUCUUGUCGUGUCGUAUCUUUGCAGCGUAGCGGUUCAGGUCUGCAGAAUAAAUAAAGACGCCCUCAAUGGCUGCACAGAAUGUCUUUGCUGCUCCAGUUUGAGGUGUUGGAACAAAGCAGGGUCUGCUGCUUUUGGUCCGGGACAAAAAUGUGGAGUCCUUGGUGAAAACUUCACCCAUGGAAGAAGAUUCAGGGUUUUUACAUCCUCCCAAGUCCAUUUCAAAAAAACAUCCCACUUUUUUUUUUUUCUUAA
Molecule: long non-coding RNA, 365 nt
Organism: Nerophis ophidion (straightnose pipefish)
Lineage: Eukaryota; Metazoa; Chordata; Actinopteri; Syngnathiformes; Syngnathidae
Exons: 3
Source: RefSeq, a predicted model, not a curated record